GGCAGCAGUGGGGAAUAUUGGACAAUGGGGGCAACCCUGAUCCAGCCAUGCCGCGUGAGUGAUGAAGGCCUUCGGGUUGUAAAGCUCUUUUGGCGGGGACGAUGAUGACGGUACCCGCAGAAUAAGCCCCGGCUAACUUCGUGCCAGCAGCCGCGGUAAGACGAAGGGGGCUAGCGUUGUUCGGAAUUACUGGGCGUAAAGCGAGUGUAGGUGGUUGUCAUAGUCAGGUGUGAAAGCCUUGAGCUCAACUCAAGAAAUGCACUUGAUACUGGGCGACUAGAGGACCGGAGAGGAUAGUGGAAUUCCCAGUGUAGUGGUGAAAUACGUAGAGAUUGGGAAGAACACCAGUGGCGAAGGCGGCUAUCUGGACGGUUUCUGACACUAAGACUCGAAAGCGUGGGGAGCAAACAGGAUUAGAUACCCUGGUAGUCCACGCCGUAAACGAUGGGUGCUAGACGUUGGCGAGCUUGCUCGUCAGUGUCGCAGCUAACGCGUUAAGCACCCCGCCUGGGGAGUACGGCCGCAAGGUUGAAACUCAAAUGAAUGACGGAAUCGUCGACUGCAGCCGCCUUGUA
This 575-nucleotide ribosomal RNA is filed under the name uncultured Alphaproteobacteria bacterium. RNAcentral describes it as "bacterial SSU rRNA". It matches the Rfam family "Bacterial small subunit ribosomal RNA", at positions 347 to 1385 of the family's 1533-position model. The record is from RNAcentral. Lineage: Bacteria; Pseudomonadati; Pseudomonadota; Alphaproteobacteria.